CGAGCCGGAUGGGACUGCACCUGCCAGCCGUUUGGCACGCAGUGAAAACCAGAGAGAGGCCCGGGAAGGAGGGGCAGCCCUCAGCGGGACUCAAGUUAUUUGCUCUGCGUGUCGUUGCGCAGGUGUGUUUGAGCGCUUCCACCCCGCAGCAGCUGCGGGGACAACCCGCAUCUGUCCCCUCCCACCACCUUUUUUUUUUUAUUUGGUGCGGUUUCCAGGGAAAAUGUCCCGCCAUCCUGCGGGAUAAGAGCUUCCAGCCUCUGGUCUUCCACCGCAUCAGUGUGCGUUCCCGCAGACUCCGCGGUCGCCACUGUCCGCAUUCCAGGUGGUGUUGCGCAGAUAGAAAUUGAACUUGGAGUAAACAACCUGGGGGGGUGGGGGGUGCUCUGAGGCGACGCUUCUGGCCGGACUGGAAACAUCCUGCUGCUGAUGACUGAUAAACAGCGCGAGCGCAGAGAAACUACCUGCUUCCAGCCGUCAUCCGUCCGGUCACGGCGUUACACUCCACAGAGAAAAAACAAUACGACACGAGGAGAUAUGUUUGCAGACUGAACUGAUGUGAUGUCAAACGCCGCGAGCCGAGGAGGUUAGAACAGGGAGGAGAGAACGCCACACGCUGCCCGACGGUUGAAACUCAGACGCGGCUG
This is a long non-coding RNA of Cyprinodon tularosa, 647 nucleotides long. RefSeq lists it as uncharacterized. Lineage: Eukaryota; Metazoa; Chordata; Actinopteri; Cyprinodontiformes; Cyprinodontidae. The record is from RefSeq and is a predicted model, not a curated record. The transcript is spliced from 3 exons.